This 409-nucleotide ribosomal RNA is filed under the name bacterium. RNAcentral describes it as "partial 16S ribosomal RNA". It matches the Rfam family "Bacterial small subunit ribosomal RNA", at positions 355 to 776 of the family's 1533-position model. RNAcentral also lists the same sequence under 1 other name. The record is from RNAcentral.
UGGGGAAUAUUGCACAAUGGGCGAAAGCCUGAUGCAGCGACGCCGCGUGAGGGAUGACGGCCUUCGGGUUGUAAACCUCUUUCAGCAGGGACGAAGCGCAAGUGACGGUACCUGCAGAAGAAGCACCGGCUAACUACGUGCCAGCAGCCGCGGUAAUACGUAGGGUGCAAGCGUUGUCCGGAAUUACUGGGCGUAAAGAGUUCGUAGGCGGUUUGUCGCGUCGUUUGUGAAAACCAGCAGCUCAACUGCUGGCUUGCAGGCGAUACGGGCAGACUUGAGUACUGCAGGGGAGACUGGAAUUCCUGGUGUAGCGGUGAAAUGCGCAGAUAUCAGGAGGAACACCGGUGGAGAAGGCGGGUCUCUGGGCAGUAACUGACGCUGAGGAACGAAAGCGUGGGUAGCGAACAGG